AGUGUGCCUAAACCGUUAUGCCAAAGAUCUAGGAUGAAAAAUUUCUCAAGCAUGUAUUACUUUCACCCUUUCUUAUUAAAUGCAUUUUUUAUCACUUCCCAUAUUAAGAUGUUAAAUACUGUAGAACCAUAUGGAAAACCUAUGUCUUCCAACACUAUGAGUUUUAGAGGUUUGCAAGCAUGAAUGCUUCUGAUCAACGGAACUGAAAUUUAUAUCUCCAACGUCAGAUCUGCACUAAACAGUGGCUCAUUAGAUGAUGGAUUAGCAUUAGAAGAACAUACCACUGCCUCUUGGAGCCGAAUGAUCCAGGUACCGGGAGGGAGGAAAGCGGCAGGUAGCAAGGCAUAACCGGCAUAAGAAUACCAAAGCAUCUCCUGGUGUUUUAUCCAUAUGCUAAGUGAAAUUGAUGGUUUGGUACUAGAGAGCUUUGGAGCAAAGGAAAAGACUUAACAUAAUAUCAAGGAUUUAUCCAAAUUUUAUCGUUGGUCCAAGUGCAUAUCUUUUUGCUUUCAACAAUGGGGUUGAAGAUGUGAACAUAAUACAGCUUAAAGCAUGGGAGAUGGAGAAACCUUUGAUGAAUGAAAUUUAACUAUUCAAAGUUAACAACAUAUGCUUCUUUAAAUGCAUUUUUGCUUUUACUUUUUUUUUUUUUUCUUUUGUAUGCUUCUUUAAUCUACAAUGUCUGUAAUAAAAUAAUGGAUUUAUCUAGUAAAACAUUGAGAGAGUUUUUAAUUCCCAUUUUUUUUUUCAUUUCCAUGUAAUUAUCUUUGCUUAGCUGCUUCAAAAUUAAAAAAUUAUGUAUUGGAGUGUGCAGGUUGAAUUUUUUUUGCACGGCUCUUUCUGGAUGAACAAGAAAAAUCAUGAUUAACGUGAGGAGUAACGAGAGACACUUACAGCCACAUUUGGAUUAAAUCAUUGAAUUUGAGCCCUAGAGUAUUAUUGAUUUACUAAAAACUUUUUGAUCAUUUUGAUACAAAAGGAUCUGCAUAUGAUAUUUAUUGAGUUAGAGAAAUCAUAUGCAAAUAAUUGUUAUCUUAUCAAACUAAAGAAAUAUUAUGAUUAACUUUUCAACUUAGUCAUAAAUAUUUUACCGAUCAUAUUUUUAUAAAUAUGACUAAUUUUUUUUAAUUAAAAUUAAAAAUAUUACUAAUUUCUUUUAUUAAAGGAAAAAAACAACAAUAACAACAA
This is a long non-coding RNA of Dendrobium catenatum, 1188 nucleotides long. RefSeq lists it as uncharacterized. The transcript has 3 exons. The record is from RefSeq and is a predicted model, not a curated record. NCBI's taxonomy places the organism in Eukaryota, Viridiplantae, Streptophyta, Magnoliopsida, Asparagales, Orchidaceae.